GAUGAACGCUGGCGGCGUGCCUAAUACAUGCAAGUCGAGCGAACGGACGCGAAGCUUGCUUCUCUGAUGUUAGCGGCGGACGGGUGAGUAACACGUGGAAAACCUACCUAUAAGACUGGGAUAACUUCGGGAAACCGUAGCUAAUACCGGAUGAUAUUUUGAACCGCAUGGUUCAAAAGUGAAAGACGGUCUUGCUGUCACUUAUAGAUGGAUCCGCGCUGCAUUAGCUAGUUGGUAAGGUAACGGCUUACCAAGGCAACGAUGCAUAGCCGACCUGAGAGGGUGAUCGCCCACACUGGAGCUUAGACGCGGUCCAGGGUCCUACGGGAGGCAGCAGUAGGGAAUCUUACGCAAUGGGCGAGAGCCUGGCGGAGCAGCGCCGCGUGAGUGAUAGAGGUCUUCGGAUCGUAAAACUCUGUUAUUAGGGAAGAACAUAUGUGUAAGUAACUGUGCACAUCUUGACGGUACCUAAUCAGAAAGCCACGGCUAACUACGUG
This 497-nucleotide ribosomal RNA is filed under the name uncultured bacterium. Its description in RNAcentral is "partial 16S ribosomal RNA". It matches the Rfam family "Bacterial small subunit ribosomal RNA", at positions 28 to 507 of the family's 1533-position model. The record is from RNAcentral.